This 253-nucleotide ribosomal RNA is filed under the name uncultured bacterium. RNAcentral describes it as "partial 16S ribosomal RNA". It matches the Rfam family "Bacterial small subunit ribosomal RNA", at positions 524 to 776 of the family's 1533-position model. The record is from RNAcentral.
UACGUAGGGUGCGAGCGUUGUCCGGAAUUAUUGGGCGUAAAGCGCGUGUAGGCGGCUUUGCAAGUCAGGUGUGAAAGCCCUCGGCUCAACCGAGGAAGUGCGCCUGAAACUGCAGAGCUUGAGUACCGGAGAGGAUGGCGGAAUUCCCCAAGUAGAGGUGAAAUUCGUUGAUAUGGGGAGGAACACCGGUGGCGAAGGCGGCCAUCUGGACGGAUACUGACGCUGAGACGCGAAAGCGUGGGUAGCAAACAGG